RNAcentral lists this unclassified non-coding RNA (25 nucleotides) under Mus musculus (house mouse). Its description in RNAcentral is "oocyte_clustered_small_RNA12992". The record is from RNAcentral. Lineage: Eukaryota; Metazoa; Chordata; Mammalia; Rodentia; Muridae.
UGUGCGCCAUAGCGGCGGCCGCGGG